This 254-nucleotide ribosomal RNA is filed under the name uncultured bacterium. Its description in RNAcentral is "partial 16S ribosomal RNA". It matches the Rfam family "Bacterial small subunit ribosomal RNA", at positions 524 to 776 of the family's 1533-position model. The record is from RNAcentral.
UACAGAGGGUGCGAGCGUUGUCCGGAAUCACUGGGCGUAAAGGGCGCGUAGGUGGUGGCUUAAGCGUGCGGUGAAAGCUCGGGGCUCAACUCCGAGUCGGCCGUGCGAACUGGGCUCACUGGAGCAUAGUAGAGGCAGGUGGAAUUCCGGGUGUAGCGGUGGAAUGCGUAGAGAUCCGGAAGAACACCGGUGGCGAAGGCGGCCUGCUGGGCUAUGGCUGACACUGAGGCGCGACAGCGUGGGGAGCGAACGGG